CGCAGAUUACAUGUUCCUACUUAUGGAAUUGCAUCUUUAGAAGUGGUGUGUUUAUUGGAAUUUCCAAGUUAAGUCUGAACCAUUUGUGUGAAUAAUUGAACCAACCUCUUCACUCAAGGCAACCAGGUCUCAUUAGAAUACAAACAUAUAUGUUUCCUUUCAAACAGGUGCAACCAUGCUACACAGAUGUAAAGCUUUACUGCAGCAAAGAGUAAGCUUCUGUAGGGCUCUGAGUAAUUCUGCCAAGGGGAGAACUAAGGAGAGACACCCCUAAAGGUGCUCUAAAGGAAACGCAAAGCGUGAAUUCUAUCAAGGCUCUGGUGUCUGGAAAUGCUAUUGAAAUAGAAUGGAAAGAUGGCCACACAUCCAAAUUCCAUAAUAGUUGGUUACGGUUUUGCUGCCAGUGUGAACAAUGCAGGCAGGCACACAGUGGCCAGAAGGUCUUUGAUGUGCUGUCCAUUCCAGACCCAUUAGAACUCUCAGAUUUCUCAGUUUCUAGUAAGUGAUCAAAAGUGUUUCAAAAGUCAGAAUAAUUUUGUUCAAAUGAGCAAUUCAUGCCCAGAGGUU
This 567-nucleotide unclassified non-coding RNA is filed under the name Orbicella faveolata. Its description in RNAcentral is "trimethyllysine dioxygenase-like, transcript variant X2". Lineage: Eukaryota; Metazoa; Cnidaria; Anthozoa; Scleractinia; Merulinidae. The record is from RNAcentral.